Molecule: unclassified non-coding RNA, 221 nt
Filed under: uncultured Gemmatimonadaceae bacterium
Lineage: Bacteria; Pseudomonadati; Gemmatimonadota; Gemmatimonadia; Gemmatimonadales; Gemmatimonadaceae
Description: contains 16S-23S intergenic spacer region
Source: RNAcentral
UCCGGUUUGGCACCGGCAGUCCUCCCAGAGUCCUCGGCAUUACCCGGUAGCAACUGGGAGCGGGGGUUGCGCUCGUUGCGGGACUUAACCCAACAUCUCACGACACGAGCUGACGACAGCCAUGCAGCACCUGUCCUGGGACUCCGAAGAGGGGACUCGGUUUCUCGAGCCUUUCCCCAAGAUGUCAAGCCCAGGUAAGGUGGGGAUGACGUUCGUCUGAC